Molecule: long non-coding RNA, 1631 nt
Filed under: Homo sapiens (human)
Lineage: Eukaryota; Metazoa; Chordata; Mammalia; Primates; Hominidae
Description: HSALNT0291962
Source: RNAcentral
CUGGCCAAUAUUAUUCCUGUUUUACAGAUGAGGACACUGGGGAAACACCAUCAUAGAUGUGAAGAGUCAAGACUAAAUUAGAAUCCCAGUUCUGCCUUUCGUUCACUGUCUGGCCUUAGACAAGUUAUUCAAUCUCUCUGAGCCUUUGUGUUCUCAUCUGUAAAUAAAAUAAUAAUGGCCCUAUCUCAAAAUAUAAGAAAGGAUUAAAUGAUGUAGCAAACACAGAGUGCUUAGCACUAUAAUGAAAGUGCAAAACAGUAGCUGGUUAAGUACCUUUUCAAGAUGCACAUCUAUACAGAGGAGGAGGAAUUUCUGUUUCUGGAACAUAAAUCUUCUCCUAGAACAUAGACCUUUCAUUUCUAGAACAUGUUUCUUUUGUACUAUUUUUCUACACCAUGUUUUGUUUUCAGAAAAUCUCUUCCGGGAAUUUAGAGAGGCUUGAGCAGUGGUAAUCAUACCAGACCAGGGGACAGGCAUCAGGAAUCUGGGAGGUGGGCAGGUGAGCAGGCAGACCCAAAGCCUGGCAGCUAACAUCUAGGUCGGAAACCAGGUAACGUCUGGAGUUUUGGGCCAAGGUGCAGGCCUGCCUGAUUAUUCGUAGAUGGCUUAUCUGAGACAAAGUUAUUCCUGGUUACAGAUGUCUAUGUAUUUAGUUCCUUGGCAACUCAUUAAACAUAACUGUUUAUAGUUUAAAGAGACCAAAUCCAUGUAACCUUGUCAUUUUCCUACCCGACUGGGCAUCAGAAACACCUGAUGCACUUGUCAGAGCUGUCCAUUCUUGAGCUUCACCAUUGAGAUAUAGAUUCUGUUGGCCUGGGGUGGGGCCUGAGAAAAUAUUAGGCUGGUGCAAAAGUAAUUACAGUUUUUGCCAUUUAUGUCAAAAAUGCAAUUACUUUUCCACCAACUUAAUAUUUUUCUUUUCUUUAACUCUCCAGGUAAUUCUGAAACUCAGCCUGAUUUGGGAGCCCCUGCAAUAAGUUUUUACUUUUACUUUGCACCUGAGGAAAAAGGCUCCAACCCAGGUGAAGUGACUUCCCCAAGGUCACACAGGGUAUCAGUAGCAGCAUUCCUUCUAUCUCUUUGUUCCAAAUUUUCUUUGCACUUCAGUCCAAGGCAACCCAACUGAAAAAUAUCUGAAAAAGACAAGGAUUUUUAUUAUUGUCUGCCUCUAGUAAAGAUUCCUUGGAUGAGACUAGCUGUUCCCAGCAUGCCAUUAGAUAAGACCUCUAUGGGGCAAGAGAGGAAAGCCUUCCCAGAUGCCUGGACUUCAGAUGUUUUCCUUGUUUGAUGUUGAAAGCUGAGAAUUUCCCUGGCUCAUGACCCCUGGAAACAAAUGCUGGAUUAUCUGUUGCGCUGGAUUAUCUGUGCCUGGCCCCUGCAGCUGCAUAGAGAAUUGUGUGUUGCCUGCACAGACUGAAGCUCUCCAUCCAUCCUGCGUGCAUUUUGUACUCGCCUGUGCCAGUGGGACUCGUGGGCCCAGUGGAAGUUCCUUAGAAGACCGAGGCCUUUGUCACCACCCACAAAGCAAGGGGAAGGUCUGCAACUGGCCAACACAGUGCCUGACAUCUAACGGGCCCUCAGUAAAUACUUGUGGAAUAGUCUCGCUGUAUCACUCAAGCUGGAUCUCGGCU